GAUGAACGCUGGCGGCGUGCCUAAUACAUGCAAGUCGAGCGAACAGACGAGGAGCUUGCUCCUCUGACGUUAGCGGCGGACGGGUGAGUAACACGUGGAUAACCUACCUAUAAGACUGGGAUAACUUCGUGAAACCGGAGCUAAUACCGGAUAAUAUAUUCAACCGCAUGGUUCAAUAGUGAAAGACGGUUUUGCUGUCACUUAUAGAUGGUUCCGCGCCGCAUUAGCUAGUUGGUAAGGUAACGGCUUACCAAGGCAACGAUGCGUAGCCGACCUGAGAGGGUGAUCGGCCACACUGGAACUGAGACACGGUCCAGACUCCUACGGGAGGCAGCAGUAGGGAAUCUUCCGCAAUGGGCGAAAGCCUGACGGAGCAACGCCGCGUGAGUGAUGAAGGUCUUCGGAUCGUAAAACUCUGUUAUUAGGGAAGAACAAAUGUAUAAGUAACUAUGCACGUCUUGACGGUACCUAAUCAGAAAGCAACGGCUAACUACGUG
This 497-nucleotide ribosomal RNA is filed under the name uncultured bacterium. RNAcentral describes it as "partial 16S ribosomal RNA". It matches the Rfam family "Bacterial small subunit ribosomal RNA", at positions 28 to 507 of the family's 1533-position model. The record is from RNAcentral.